UCCAGCCAGUGAGGGGACAGAGGGACAGCAGGAGGGAGGGAAAGGUAUAGGAGGUGGGGGUGGGGGUUUCAGCCAGUCUCUUUCCCAGCAGUGAUGCCGUCUCAGCCACCAGUUCUCUGCCAGCGGGGUCAGCACAGGCAUGGUGCAGAACAUUGAGUUAUGGGGGUCCAGGGUAAACUUGGCUACCUUGGUAAACAUGGCUACAAGCUCCUUUAUAUAACUUUAGGUUUCGGGACACAGCAUGGAAACCACUACUCUAGACGACAGCCAUGUGACAUGCCUGCCCCCACUUUGCCUCCCACCACAAUUGGAAGCUUCCUGAGGCCUUCACCAGAGGCAGAUACUGGCACCAUGCUUCCUAUACAGCCUGCAGAACGGUGAGCCAAUUAAACCUCUUUUCUUACCCAACCUCAAAUAUACGUUUAUAGUAGUGCAAAUGGACUCCUACACCACUGACAGAGAUUUUGUGGCUCAUCUGAUUGCUCUUUUUUACUCUAGGGAAAUCUUUGAACACCUCAGUUUGUCAGUGGCCACAUCUGUACAACGGGCUACUGGAAAUGUGCUCACCUUCAGAAGAUGCUAUUUCAAACCCACGCAUUUGCCCUGAGCCAUCUGCUUUCUAGAUGGCCCAUCUUGUAGCAACUCAUAGAUGACUUUUUCAGAUACUUGGUUGGGGGCGGGGUCAAGACCGUGUUUUGAGAAUAGACUUUUUCCCUGUGGGAAACUGAAAGGCUUGUGGUGUAAUGAUCCCUGGCCUGGGGCCUCCUUUGCACAGUUAAUUAAUUCCAACGACAAAUAUUUACUGUGCAUCGAGCGUAGCAGGCAGUGCCCUGACUGAUUAAGAUGAUCUGAUAUGGUAAUGCAGGGUGGACUUGAGAAAUUAAUGAUUUUAAAAUGUAGUUAGCAACCUAGGGUUCUGGAGGGACAAUGCCAGACUUUCUUCUGGUGUUCAAACCGUCCCAGACUGUGAAGGAACUGGUCCGUGAUGUCUGCCUGGGCUGCUUUGCCUCUGCUCCAUAGCUGAGGGAAGGGGCAGCUCUUGGCUCUCUGCCAGUGUUUGUAAUCCGCACAGCAGGCUCCCAUGUCUUCUGGGUGGGCCUGCAUCUUUUGUUACAUAUUUGUCCCCGAAUCCAGACCACUUCUGAGCUCUCUGGGGAGAAUGUGCCCAAGAGCUGUUCAGUGGGGUGGGCAGGCUGGUGGAAGUCCUCAAGCCUAAUUUGUUCCGCUUCCCUUCAGCCCUUCAGUCCUAAUUCAUUUGUUUGUAUUUGGGGGAAAAAAAAUCUCUCAUUAUUGUCUAUCCUUUAUUUCCUGGAAUUCAACAUGAAAGUUGUCAUUGUUUUAGUUUGUGGCCUCCAAAGAAAUAAACCAUUUGAGCAACAACUGCAACAAUAGCAACAAUUCUUCAUGGCAUGGGCGUCAGACCGGUUGACUUUGGAAUCUAGGUGUCCAUUUUGUUAGAAUUGAAUGUGCACUGGGUUUGGGGUGGGUGUGAGGGAGGCUGUAUUUAUUUUUGAACUUCUUUCGCCCAUAAUGAAAACCAGCUGCCUCUCCAACAAGUGCAUUACUCUUCCCAUAGAAAGCCUCAUGGACAGACUGAAGCUACAGGGGUGGCAAGUCACAUAGAUGGAUGUUUCUAAUUUGAUCUAGUGAGCUUCACCCUCUAUCUCUCGGUCCUCCAGUCCUUGCUCGUGGGUUGAUGGACACCUUGUCUCCUUCCAUACUUGUGGAACCUAGGGGUACUUUUAGUUAGUGGAGGAGAAAUGUGUCUCUUCUCCCCACUGAUUCGCCAGGGUGGACAUGGAGGGGACCUCCCCACCCUGGGAAAGGUGGCCCCAUUCAGCUUGAGUCUGGAGUGAGACCAAACUUUCCUGCCUGCUGCAUACAACUUCAACUCCAAGUCCAAGCUGGGCCCGUUAUUUUGGCUGCUUGGAGAACAUUCCUUCCCAUGUGCUGAUGCAUCAGGGUAUCUCCAGCUUCCUUU
This 1981-nucleotide long non-coding RNA is filed under the name Homo sapiens (human). Its description in RNAcentral is "HSALNT0365808". The record is from RNAcentral. Lineage: Eukaryota; Metazoa; Chordata; Mammalia; Primates; Hominidae.